RNAcentral lists this transfer RNA (72 nucleotides) under Bos taurus (domestic cattle). It matches the Rfam family "tRNA". Rfam says of the family: Transfer RNA (tRNA) molecules are approximately 80 nucleotides in length. Their secondary structure includes four short double-helical elements and three loops (D, anti-codon, and T loops). Lineage: Eukaryota; Metazoa; Chordata; Mammalia; Artiodactyla; Bovidae. The record is from Rfam by way of RNAcentral. RNAcentral also lists the same sequence under 4 other names.
UCCUUGGUGGCUCAGAGGUUAAAGCGUCUGCCUCCAAUGCAGGAGGCCCAGGUUCGAUCCCUGGGUCGGGAA